UUGCUUUGGCAGCACAUAUACGAAAACUGGAGCGAUACAGAGAAGAUUAGUAUGGCCUCUGUGCAAGGAUGACACACAAAUUUGUGAAGCAGUCCACAUUUUU
RNAcentral lists this small nuclear RNA (103 nucleotides) under Dasypus novemcinctus (nine-banded armadillo). Lineage: Eukaryota; Metazoa; Chordata; Mammalia; Cingulata; Dasypodidae. The record is from RNAcentral.